AUUAUUGAAUGUAAUACGCGCGAUGUCAGAGCAAAUUGAAGAGCAAAUACACGUUGAUAAUUAUUAAAAGAAUCAUGAGGCAAGAGUUCGAAAUUAUCGAUAAAAUAAUCAUUCGUUCGAUCAGUUGUUUGUCGGCUACAAAAAUAACAAUGAUAGCAAAAAAUAUGAUCCAAAGAUAGAUCGUUUAAAUACAAGUGGUAAAAAACAAUUUCAUUGUCCUCGAUUUUCUCGUUCUCGUUUUGCGAGCUAUUGAUCCAAUCAGUGUGCAAUAUCGCGAGAGAGAGAGAGAGAGAGAGAGAGAGAGAGAGAGGAAGAAAAUAGUAUUCGCGAACCGACGAGCAACAGUCGGAUUAAUUGUUCUUUCCGGCGUUGUAUUACGUAGUGCACCUGUUGCGUUCGAGCAUUGGGAAAAAAAGAUCGGGCUUUUUGACGAAUGGAAUUGGAAAACAUGGCGGAUGUACGAUUACGUACGUUGUAACAAUGAAGUUUUAUAUAAUACACUGUAUCUAUUAUACGGUAGAUCCGAUUUUAGCCAGUUCUCAUUACGAUUCCUUUUCCGGUUUCCUUCUCGCUGAAAAUAAUUUGAUUUCGUCAUCAUUUCCCUCGGGUGAAUAUUAUUUCGCUUCGUGAACUUUUAAUUAGUGGAAUGUUUCGUUUUAGUAAUUAUUCGGCCCCGAUUCGAUCGAUUUUGUGAUUUCAGCUAGUUUUCAGAAACGGCAGGUCCUCUAGAUUUCAAUUGAAAGACGCGUCAGUAAAAAAUAAAGUAAAAAAUAAAAAAAGAAAAAACACCAAAGGGGAUUGUGCGUUUGAAGAGAUCGCGGGAUCGAGGGAUGUAAGCGACUUCCUGUCCAAGUAUCUCCAUCUGUUCCGAUUUGGAAGAGUCCGACGUCCAAGUCGGUAAAGUCGCUUCCUUCGUUCUUUGUUUUCGAUUCUCUGCGUUUAUGGGAUCGUUUCGGACGAUGCUCUAUCGUAAAUCCUACAGACGCGUCUUCUACAAGGAAUUCACGAUAAAACAAAGG
RNAcentral lists this unclassified non-coding RNA (1019 nucleotides) under Bombus terrestris (buff-tailed bumblebee). RNAcentral describes it as "misc RNA ENSBTSG00005029386.1". The record is from RNAcentral. Lineage: Eukaryota; Metazoa; Arthropoda; Insecta; Hymenoptera; Apidae.